GGGCGCGUGGUCCAACGGUAUGACGUUCUGAUCUGGCAGCCAUAUCGAAACCUCUCUGGUGGUGAUGCAAUGUCAUCGCCGCUCGUGGAGGUGGAGAAUGAGCCUCACUCAGGGAGAUGCGGGUUCGAUUCUCGCCGUGCCUA
Boeremia exigua is the source of this 143-nucleotide non-coding RNA. The record is from the annotation of a RefSeq genome assembly. Lineage: Eukaryota; Fungi; Ascomycota; Dothideomycetes; Pleosporales; Didymellaceae.